This 1175-nucleotide ribosomal RNA is filed under the name uncultured Bacteroides sp. RNAcentral's name for it is "bacterial SSU rRNA". It matches the Rfam family "Bacterial small subunit ribosomal RNA", at positions 10 to 1176 of the family's 1533-position model. The record is from RNAcentral. Lineage: Bacteria; Pseudomonadati; Bacteroidota; Bacteroidia; Bacteroidales; Bacteroidaceae.
AGUUUGAUCCUGGCUCAGGAUGAACGCUAGCUACAGGCUUAACACAUGCAAGUCGAGGGGCAGCAUGGUCUUAGCUUGCUAAGGCUGAUGGCGACCGGCGCACGGGUGAGUAACACGUAUCCAACCUGCCGUCUACUCUUGGCCAGCCUUCUGAAAGGAAGAUUAAUCCAGGAUGGGAUCAUGAGUUCACAUGUCCGCAUGAUUAAAGGUAUUUUCCGGUAGACGAUGGGGAUGCGUUCCAUUAGAUAGUAGGCGGGGUAACGGCCCACCUAGUCAACGAUGGAUAGGGGUUCUGAGAGGAAGGUCCCCCACAUUGGAACUGAGACACGGUCCAAACUCCUACGGGAGGCAGCAGUGAGGAAUAUUGGUCAAUGGGCGAUGGCCUGAACCAGCCAAGUAGCGUGAAGGAUGACUGCCCUAUGGGUUGUAAACUUCUUUUAUAAAGGAAUAAAGUCGGGUAUGCAUACCCGUUUGCAUGUACUUUAUGAAUAAGGAUCGGCUAACUCCGUGCCAGCAGCCGCGGUAAUACGGAGGAUCCGAGCGUUAUCCGGAUUUAUUGGGUUUAAAGGGAGCGUAGAUGGAUGUUUAAGUCAGUUGUGAAAGUUUGCGGCUCAACCGUAAAAUUGCAGUUGAUACUGGAUGUCUUGAGUGCAGUUGAGGCAGGCGGAAUUCGUGGUGUAGCGGUGAAAUGCUUAGAUAUCACGAAGAACUCCGAUUGCGAAGGCAGCCUGCUAAGCUGCAACUGACAUUGAGGCUCGAAAGUGUGGGUAUCAAACAGGAUUAGAUACCCUGGUAGUCCACACGGUAAACGAUGAAUACUCGCUGUUUGCGAUAUACGGCAAGCGGCCAAGCGAAAGCGUUAAGUAUUCCACCUGGGGAGUACGCCGGCAACGGUGAAACUCAAAGGAAUUGACGGGGGCCCGCACAAGCGGAGGAACAUGUGGUUUAAUUCGAUGAUACGCGAGGAACCUUACCCGGGCUUAAAUUGCACUCGAAUGAUCCGGAAACGGUUCAGCUAGCAAUAGCGAGUGUGAAGGUGCUGCAUGGUUGUCGUCAGCUCGUGCCGUGAGGUGUCGGCUUAAGUGCCAUAACGAGCGCAACCCUUGUUGUCAGUUACUAACAGGUGAUGCUGAGGACUCUGACAAGACUGCCAUCGUAAGAUGUGAGGAAGGUGG